ACCAAUCAAAGCACUCUGACAGGCAAGUCUCACUUCUUUCGAGACCUGCGUUUGAACAUUUUCACGCAAGUCUCAAAAGAAGUGAGAUUUGUCUGUCAAAACACUCUGAUUGGUUGACUUACUAUUUUUUUUUAUUGUUUCUGUAA
Pelobates cultripes (western spadefoot toad) is the source of this 146-nucleotide non-coding RNA. The record is from the annotation of a GenBank genome assembly. Lineage: Eukaryota; Metazoa; Chordata; Amphibia; Anura; Pelobatidae.